UACGUAGGGUGCGAGCGUUAAUCGGAAUUACUGGGCGUAAAGUGUGCGCAGGUGGCUUCGCAAGUCGAGUGUGAAAUCCCCGGGCUUAACCUGGGAAUUGCGCUCGAAACUACGGAGCUGGAGUAUGGCAGAGGGAGGUGGAAUUCCACGUGUAGCGGUGAAAUGCGUAGAGAUGUGGAGGAACACCAAUGGCGAAGGCAGCCUCCUGGGCCAAUACUGACGCUGAGCCGCGAAAGCCAGGGGAGCGAACGGG
Molecule: ribosomal RNA, 253 nt
Filed under: uncultured bacterium
Lineage: Bacteria
Description: partial 16S ribosomal RNA
Rfam family: Bacterial small subunit ribosomal RNA
Source: RNAcentral